ACAUCGAUUUUCUAGAAAGGAGACUGGUUUCUGUUUUAAAGAGAGAAUAGAGUGAGUUCCGAUCAAAGCUCUUACUCAACGGGAAAUUUCAGAAGGUGCUCACAGGGAUUGUGAUUAACUUCAGAGUGAAAAUAAAAGCCAAAGAUGGGAAAUAGCUCAAAUAAAGAGAAAAAAGG
Molecule: long non-coding RNA, 176 nt
Organism: Mauremys reevesii (Reeves's turtle)
Lineage: Eukaryota; Metazoa; Chordata; Testudines; Geoemydidae
Exons: 3
Source: RefSeq, a predicted model, not a curated record